GUUUCUCUAUCCGAUAUAUCCACUUAUAUGUGUUGCAGCUGCUGCUGUCAUUGAGAGUUUCCCUGACAUAUUCCGCGACAAGUAUGCGAGUGAGGAUUCUACCAUUGUUAAGAUUUCUAAAGGACUCAGACCUGUUAUUCUUGGCUUCAUAUUGUGUGCCUCCCACAGCCGCACAUUCUCCUUAUUACAUGGUUAUUCUGC
This 201-nucleotide unclassified non-coding RNA is filed under the name Hevea brasiliensis (rubber tree). The record is from RNAcentral. Lineage: Eukaryota; Viridiplantae; Streptophyta; Magnoliopsida; Malpighiales; Euphorbiaceae.